This 440-nucleotide long non-coding RNA is filed under the name Oryza brachyantha (malo sina). RNAcentral's name for it is "long non-coding RNA (OBRA_LNC002626)". The record is from RNAcentral. Lineage: Eukaryota; Viridiplantae; Streptophyta; Magnoliopsida; Poales; Poaceae.
AGGUAAAGACUUGAUUUAUGAUAUAUCUACCAACCUCUCCUUUGGUAAGUUUGUUAAAUUAUGUUUUGAUUGUACAAUGAUCAGUUUCGACCAUAACAAGCUCUGAUCACUGCAACGACGUUGGCAUGGUGCCAUGGCAAUGGCAGCGAAGAAGCUAGCAUGGAGAUUUGCCAGCGAGUUUUCACUGGGGGCUGCUGUUCAUUCAACCGGCAGAAAAAGAGGGGCGUUGCAGCGAAGGGUCAGUCAAGUUCAUGGACAGCACAAACAUGCCAUAUGGGAAAUGAGUAUUAGUUGCAGUGACUGAUCCAGUAUGCUUCGAAUUCCCUAAAUAUUGGGUUCUUGAUGCUACUCAAUCCUAUCGCAGCAGUGCUCGACACCAGGUCCAGUUGUUUUCUAUGGCUGGGAGAAAGGGUAGCAUCAAGACUGACCAUCUUUCAUUU